UAAUCCUACGGGGCGCAGCAGUGGGGAAUAUUGGACAAUGGGGGGAACCCUGAUCCAGCGACGCCGCGUGAGUGAAGAAGUAUUUCGGUAUGUAAAGCUCUAUCAGCAGGGAAGAAAGAAAUGACGGUACCUGACUAAGAAGCCCCGGCUAACUACGUGCCAGCAGCCGCGGUAAUACGUAGGGGGCAAGCGUUAUCCGGAUUUACUGGGUGUAAAGGGAGCGUAGACGGUUGUGCAAGUCUGGAGUGAAAGGGGGGGGCCCAACCCCCGGACUGCUUUGGAGACUGUAUAACUGGAGGGCAGGG
RNAcentral lists this ribosomal RNA (305 nucleotides) under uncultured bacterium. Its description in RNAcentral is "partial 16S ribosomal RNA". It matches the Rfam family "Bacterial small subunit ribosomal RNA", at positions 334 to 653 of the family's 1533-position model. The record is from RNAcentral.